This 253-nucleotide ribosomal RNA is filed under the name uncultured bacterium. Its description in RNAcentral is "partial 16S ribosomal RNA". It matches the Rfam family "Bacterial small subunit ribosomal RNA", at positions 524 to 776 of the family's 1533-position model. The record is from RNAcentral.
GACGGAGGAUGCAAGCGUUAUCCGGAAUGAUUGGGCGUAAAGCGUCCGCAGGUGGCUAUGUAAGUCUGCUGUUAAAGAGCAAAGCUUAACUUUGUAAAAGCAGUGGAAACUACAUAGCUAGAGUGCGUUCGGGGCAGAGGGAAUUCCUGGUGUAGCGGUGAAAUGCGUAGAGAUCAGGAAGAACACCGGUGGCGAAGGCGCUCUGCUAGGCCGCAACUGACACUGAGGGACGAAAGCUAGGGGAGCGAAUGGG